RNAcentral lists this long non-coding RNA (2929 nucleotides) under Homo sapiens (human). Its description in RNAcentral is "non-protein coding lnc-ZNF217-2:2". The record is from RNAcentral. Lineage: Eukaryota; Metazoa; Chordata; Mammalia; Primates; Hominidae.
CCUGUGUCUCCCCUCCAGAGUGUAGGUCCCUGAGGGCAGUCACCUGAUCUGUCUCAGUCACUGCAGUGUCCCCAAACAGAGCACCGCCUCAGGCACACAGAGGGCAGUGGUGAGGACUAAAGGAGGCGAUGAGAAGAGAGUCCCCACAAGGAGUCUGGCACAGAGGAAGUUUCGACGUAUGCUGUCCAUUGCAACUUCGACUUAUGCUGCGUUUCUGUGUCGGAACAGUGGAAGACAUUCAACAAGCACUUUGUCUCAGAGGCUUAGUUACAAUUAAUUGAGCCUGAAAGACCAUAGACUUGAAAAAGCCCUCAAAGUGAUAAAGGUAAAAAGAAAAAUAAAAUGACAUCUAGCAGGCACUGAGGGCUCUACAACGUGUGGCUAGCCUGUAUUCAGCACCCUACAGUGUGCAGCCAGGCUGUGCUCAGCAUCCUACAGUGUGCAGCCAGGCUGUGCUCAGUACUCUACAGUGAGUAGCCAGCCUGUGCUCAGCACUCCGCAGUGAGUGGCCAGCCUGUGCUCAGCACUCUACAGUAUGUGGCCAAACUGUGCUCAGCACUCCACAGUGAGUGGCCAGCCUGUGGUCAGGACUCUACAGUGAGUGGCCAGUCUAUACUCUGCACUCUACAGUGAGUGGCCAGCCUGUACACAGCACUCCACAGUCGUCAUCUUUUCAUCAUAAAUCUAAUGGCCACUUAAUGAGGUAGACCUGUCCCAUGACUUGAACUGAUUUCAAAAACUCAAAACUCAUACUCUCUUGCAUUUGGCAACCAAAACACAACCCACUUCCUGGGACCUUCUGACAGCCAGGCCACGUUGAGCAAACACCGAGCCCUCUUCAGAGUUGGUCAGCAGCCAGGUCAGCAGCGACUGGCAAGGCGACUGCUUGCCAGGUCUCCUCCAGCAUGAGCUUGGGAUGGAGCUGAAUCCCUUUCAUGCACAAGCAGAAUUUGAAAAGGUGCGGGGCCACACUAGUACCUCUGCGUCUCCUGCCAGAGCCCACCAGCUUAUUUUGCUUCUUCAGAGUCUGUAAAGCAUCCUUCUGGAUGACGAAUGCCUUCCGAGGCUCCAGCCCACCAAGCCUUCCUCUAAGUUUCAGAUGCAGAGGCCACCUCGGAGAACUGUGAUUGUCUCCCUGCAUCUCCCCAGUGCCCCCGGAUGAGUGCCACCCUCCUCACCUGCUAUCACAAAGACAAGAAAGGCCAUUCAUAAUUUAAGUCAGCCCUUUCUUUCCUGCACGCCACCAACAUGAGUCAGAUGCUGGAGGAAAAAUUGAACUCUUUCUCCCAGGAUACACCAAAGAUCAAGCAGAAUCUCAUUAAGGCUCACUUCAAAGACUCGUCCUUUAUUUCCAUACAAACAAGUUUAAAUUAUCGUGUGUGAAUCUGCUGUUAGCAGGGACUCUGUUCCAUUAUGCAUGAUUCCUUACUGUUCAUAUCAUGAAUAAUGGGCAGUGCUCCGUUAGCGAUUUCCAGUAAUAUGCUAAACUUUGGGAGUGGUCAUGGUGUUAGGUUAAAGUUCUGGUGUUUGCCUAUUUUAUUUCUUACUCAAGCUAUAAUGGCCUGCUUCAUCAAAAUAGGUUUCACAGUCUUAUUGUAAUGAACACAGCAUAACACAUGUUGUGGCUAUGAUUUCCUUAUUAUUAUUAUUGAAUAUUUAUUGAGCACUUACUAUGUGUAAGGGAUGGUGCUCAGUGUAUGCAUUGCAUGCAUAAUAUUUAAUCUUCCGGAAUCCCAUGAAAUAGCUAUGAUGAUUAUUCCCAUUUUACUGGUGAAAAAAACUGAUAAUUUGAGCAGGAUCUAAAUUAUCCACAGAUAAAACUUUUUUGUGUGUUUUUGAGACAGGGUCUCACUUUGUGACCCAGGCUGGAGUGCAGUGGUGCAAUUAUGGCUCACUGCAGCCUUGACUUUCCAGGCUCAAGCGAUCCUCCCACCUCAGCCUCCUGAGUAGCUGGGACUACAGGCAUGCACCAUCACACUGGCUAAUGUUUUAAACAAUUUUUGUAGAGAUGGUGUCUUGCUAUUUUGCCCAAGCUGGUCUGGAACUCCUGGGCUCAAGCAAUCUGCCCACUUCAGCCUCCCAAGAUGAUGGGAGUACAGGCAUGAGCCACCGUGCCUGGCCUGAUAGAACUGUUAAUAAAUGGUAAUGCUGAUUCAAAUCAGUUGGUCUGACUUCAGAUACUCCUAAUUAUAAAAUACUUUUUACAACGCUAUUACUUGCUGAAGAGCUUUGGCAGAUAAUCGAUGAUUUGGUAAGCAGGUAUUUGGAUGUCCAGUGCACAUUUCUCAUGUCCAGAUGAGAAAUGAAUGCUCAGGGGAUUGCUUGAUACCUGGGAGUGAGAAAAUCCUUGUUCAAGUACUGGUUUUGACUUCACUUAAUCUUGGGCAAGUCAUCCAGUCUUCCUGGAUGUGCUGAGGUGGUUGCAUUAUUGCCUUUGUAAUUUUUUUUCUUCAUUUUUUUAUUAUACUUUAAGUUCUAGGGUACAUGUGCACAACGUGCAGGUUUGUUACAUAUGUAUAUAUGUGUCAUGUUGGUGUGCUGCACCCAUUAACUCAUCAUUUUCAUAAGGUAUAUCUCCUAAUGCUAUCCCUUCCCCCUCCCCCCACUCCAUGACAGGCCCCUCUGUGUGAUGUUCCCCAUCCUGUGUCUAAGUGUUCUCAUUGUGCAAUUCCCACCUAUGAGCGAGAGAGAACAUGCGGUGUUUGGUUUUCUGUCCUUGCGAUAGUUUGCUCAGAAUGAUGGUUUCCAGCUUCAUCCAUGUCCCUACAAAGGACAUGAACUCAUCCUUUUUUAUGGCUACGUAGUAUUCCAUGGUGUAUAUGUGCCAAAUUUUCUUAAUCCAGUCUAUCAUUGGUAGACAUUUGGAUUGGUUCCAAGUCUUUGCUAUUGUGAAUAGUGCCGCAAUAAACAUACAUGUGCAUAUGUCUUU